This 400-nucleotide ribosomal RNA is filed under the name Oryctolagus cuniculus (rabbit). RNAcentral's name for it is "partial 18S ribosomal RNA". It matches the Rfam family "Eukaryotic small subunit ribosomal RNA", at positions 1 to 370 of the family's 1831-position model. The record is from RNAcentral. Lineage: Eukaryota; Metazoa; Chordata; Mammalia; Lagomorpha; Leporidae.
UACCUGGUUGAUCCUGCCAGUAGCAUNUGCUUGYCUCAAAGAUUAAGCCAUGCCUCUCUAAGUACGCACGGCCGGUACAGUGAAACUGAGAAUGGCUCAUUAAAYCAGYUAUGGUNCCUUNGGUCGCUCGCUCCUCUCCUACUUGGAUAACUGUGGUANUUCUAGAGCUAANACAUGCCGACGGNGCUGACCCCCUUUGUGCGGGAUGCGUGCAUUUAUCAGAUCAAAACCAACCCCCGUCAGUUUCCCCCCGGCCCCGCCGYYYYGGUGGGCUCGGCGGCUCUGGUGACUCUAGAUAACCUCGGGCCGAUCGCAYGCUCGUGCCGAAAUUCGAACGUCUGCCCUAUCAACUUUCGAUGGCAGUCGCCGUGUCUACCAUGGUGACCACGGGUGACGGGGA